GGAAUAUUGGGCAAUGGGCGCAAGCCUGACCCAGCAACGCCGCGUGAAGGAAGAAGGCUUUCGGGUUGUAAACUUCUUUUGUCAGGGACGAAGCAAGUGACGGUACCUGACGAAUAAGCCACGGCUAACUACGUGCCAGCAGCCGCGGUAAUACGUAGGUGGCAAGCGUUAUCCGGAAUCAUUGGGCGUAAAGAGGGAGCAGGCGGCCUGGAGGGUCUAUUGUUAAAAGGCAGUGGCUUAACCAUUGCAAGGCGAAGAAACCGGCAGGCUAGAGUUCUAAAGAGGAUCGUGGAAUUCCAUGUGUAGCGGUGAAAUGCGUAGAUAUAUGGAGGAACACCAGUGGCGAAGGCGACGAUCUGGGAAGAAACAGACGCUGAGUCCCGAAAGCGUGGGGAGCAAAUAGG
This 404-nucleotide ribosomal RNA is filed under the name uncultured bacterium. RNAcentral describes it as "bacterial SSU rRNA". It matches the Rfam family "Bacterial small subunit ribosomal RNA", at positions 358 to 776 of the family's 1533-position model. The record is from RNAcentral.